GAUGAACGCUGGCGGCGUGCCUAAUACAUGCAAGUCGAGCGAACAGACGAGGGGCUUCCUCCCCUGACGUUUUCGGCGGACGGGUGUGUAACACGUGGAUCACCUCCCUAUACGACUGGUAUAACUUCGGGACACCGGAUCUUAUCCCGUAACAUUUGUUGAACCGUGUGGUUCACUAGUGAAGUACGGUUUUGCCGCCACUUAUAGGUGGUUCGUCGUGGCAUUAGUUAGUUGGUAAGGUAACGGCUUACCAAGGCAACGAUGCGUAGCCGACCGGAGGGGGGGACGGGCCACACUGGAACUGAGACACGGUCCAGACGCCUACGGGAGGAAGCAGAAGGGAAUCUCCCGCAAUGGGGGAAAGCCUGCCGGAGCAACGCCGCGGGAGGGAGGAGGGUCUUCGGAUCGUAAAACCCUGUGAUUAGGGAAGAACAAAGGGGGAAGGAACUAUGCACGUCGUGACGGUACCUAAUCAGAAAGCCACGGCUAACUACGUG
RNAcentral lists this ribosomal RNA (497 nucleotides) under uncultured bacterium. RNAcentral describes it as "partial 16S ribosomal RNA". It matches the Rfam family "Bacterial small subunit ribosomal RNA", at positions 28 to 507 of the family's 1533-position model. The record is from RNAcentral.